This 465-nucleotide ribosomal RNA is filed under the name uncultured bacterium. RNAcentral's name for it is "partial 16S ribosomal RNA". It matches the Rfam family "Bacterial small subunit ribosomal RNA", at positions 28 to 507 of the family's 1533-position model. The record is from RNAcentral.
GACGAACGCUGGCGGCGUGCUUAACACAUGCAAGUCGAACGGAAAGGCCCUGCUUGCAGGGUACUCGAGUGGCGAACGGGUGAGUAACACGUGGGUGAUCUGCCCUGCACUUCGGGAUAAGCCUGGGAAACUGGGUCUAAUACCGGAUAGGAGCCAUUUUUAGUGUAAUGGUUGGAAAGUUUUUUCGGUGUAGGAUGAGCUCGCGGCCUAUCAGCUUGUUGGUGGGGUAAUGGCCUACCAAGGCGGCGACGGGUAGCCGGCCUGAGAGGGUGGACGGCCACAUUGGGACUGAGAUACGGCCCAGACUCCUACGGGAGGCAGCAGUGGGGAAUAUUGCACAAUGGGCGCAAGCCUGAUGCAGCGACGCCGCGUGGGGGAUGACGGCCUUCGGGUUGUAAACUCCUUUCGCUAGGGACGAAGCUUUUUGUGACGGUACCUAGAUAAGAAGCACCGGCUAACUACGUG